GAGAUUUUUGUGAUGAUCUAGCGAUUUACCUUGGGACACCUAUGAAACCUGUGAUUAGUGUAAAUUUAAAUUGCUGAGAACU
Small nucleolar RNA from Ceratitis capitata (Mediterranean fruit fly), 82 nucleotides. RefSeq annotates it as small nucleolar RNA Me28S-Gm3113. The record is from RefSeq and is a predicted model, not a curated record. The transcript has a single exon. Lineage: Eukaryota; Metazoa; Arthropoda; Insecta; Diptera; Tephritidae.